Molecule: transfer RNA, 61 nt
Filed under: Alectorobius rioplatensis
Lineage: Eukaryota; Metazoa; Arthropoda; Arachnida; Ixodida; Argasidae
Description: tRNA-Val
Source: RNAcentral
UGGGGUGUAUUUAAUAAAUAUUUCUUUUACAAAGAAAAAAAGCGGUUUAGCGCCACUCUAA